UACGAAGGGGGCUAGCGUUGCUCGGAAUUACUGGGCGUAAAGCGCACGUAGGCGGCUUGUUAAGUCAGGGGUGAAAUCCUGGAGCUCAACUCCAGAACUGCCUUUGAUACUGGCGAGCUUGAGUUCGGGAGAGGUGAGUGGAACUGCGAGUGUAGAGGUGAAAUGCGUAGAUAUCGCUUGGAACGCCAAAGGUGAAAACAGGUUGCUGGGGUUGUGCCGACGCUGAGACACGAAAGCCAGGGGAGCAAACGGG
Molecule: ribosomal RNA, 253 nt
Filed under: uncultured bacterium
Lineage: Bacteria
Description: partial 16S ribosomal RNA
Rfam family: Bacterial small subunit ribosomal RNA
Source: RNAcentral